Molecule: ribosomal RNA, 166 nt
Filed under: uncultured bacterium
Lineage: Bacteria
Description: partial 16S rRNA
Rfam family: Bacterial small subunit ribosomal RNA
Source: RNAcentral
UAAGGGGAAUCUCCACAAUGGGCGAAAGCCUGAUGGAGCAACGCCGCGUGUGUGAUGAAGGGUUUCGGCUCGUAAAACACUGUUGUAAGAGAAGAAAUGACAUUGAGAGUAACUGUUCAAUGUGUGACGGUAUCUUACCAGAAAGGAACGGCUAAAUACGUGCCAG